GGCGUGCCUAAUACAUGCAAGUAGAACGCUGAAGGAGGAGCUUGCUUCUCUGGAUGAGUUGCGAACGGGUGAGUAACGCGUAGGUAACCUGCCUGGUAGCGGGGGAUAACUAUUGGAAACGAUAGCUAAUACCGCAUAAUAUUGACUAUUGCAUGAUAGUCAGUUGAAAGGUGCAACUGCACCACUACCAGAUGGACCUGCGUUGUAUUAGCUAGUUGGUGGGGUAACGGCUCACCAAGGCGACGAUACAUAGCCGACCUGAGAGGGUGAUCGGCCACACUGGGACUGAGACACGGCCCAGACUCCUACGGGAGGCAGCAGUAGGGAAUCUUCGGCAAUGGACGGAAGUCUGACCGAGCAACGCCGCGUGAGUGAAGAAGGUUUUCGGAUCGUAAAGCUCUGUUGUAAGAGAAGAACGAGUGUGAGAGUGGAAAGUUCACACUGUGACGGUAUCUUACCAGAAAGGGACGGCUAACUACGUGCCAGCAGCCGCGGUAAUACGUAGGUCCCGAGCGUUGUCCGGAUUUAUUGGGCGU
RNAcentral lists this ribosomal RNA (536 nucleotides) under uncultured Streptococcus sp. Its description in RNAcentral is "bacterial SSU rRNA". It matches the Rfam family "Bacterial small subunit ribosomal RNA", at positions 41 to 561 of the family's 1533-position model. The record is from RNAcentral. Lineage: Bacteria; Bacillati; Bacillota; Bacilli; Lactobacillales; Streptococcaceae.